This 336-nucleotide unclassified non-coding RNA is filed under the name soil metagenome. Its description in RNAcentral is "partial contains 5.8S ribosomal RNA, internal transcribed spacer 2, and large subunit ribosomal RNA". The stretch from base 1 to 120 matches the Rfam family "5.8S ribosomal RNA", at positions 35 to 154 of the family's 154-position model. The record is from RNAcentral.
GAUGAAGAACGCAGCGAAAUGCGAUAAGUAAUGUGAAUUGCAGAAUUCAGUGAAUCAUCGAAUCUUUGAACGCCCAUUGCGCCCGCCAGUAUUCUGGCGGGCAUGCCUGUUCGAGCGUCAUUUCAACCAUCAAGCCCCCGGCUUGUGUUGGGGACCUGCGGCUGCCGCAGGCCCUGAAAAGCAGUGGCGGGCUCGCUGUCACACCGAGCGUAGUAGCAUACAUCUCGCUCUGGGCGUGCUGCGGGUUCCGGCCGUUAAACCACCUUCAUAACCCAAGGUUGACCUCGGAUCAGGUAGGAAGACCCGCUGAACUUAAGCAUAUCAAUAAGCGGAGGA